RNAcentral lists this ribosomal RNA (376 nucleotides) under uncultured bacterium. RNAcentral describes it as "bacterial SSU rRNA". It matches the Rfam family "Bacterial small subunit ribosomal RNA", at positions 524 to 898 of the family's 1533-position model. The record is from RNAcentral.
UACGGGGGGUGCGAGCGUUGUUCGGAAUUAUUGGGCGUAAAGAGCGUGUAGGCGGCUGGAUCAGUCAGAUGUGAAAUCCCUGGGCUUAACCCAGGACGUGCAUUUGAAACUGUCCAGCUUGAGUAGGGGAGAGGAAAGUGGAAUUCCUGGUGUAGAGGUGAAAUUCGUAGAUAUCAGGAGGAACACCGGUGGCGAAGGCGACUUUCUGGCCCUAUACUGACGCUGAGACGCGAGAGCGUGGGUAGCAAACAGGAUUAGAUACCCUGGUAGUCCACGCUGUAAACGAUGUUCACUAGGUGUUGGGGGUAUUGACCCUCUCAGUGCCGCAGCUAACGCAUUAAGUGAACCGCCUGGGGAGUACGGUCGCAAGAUUAAA